Molecule: ribosomal RNA, 404 nt
Filed under: uncultured bacterium
Lineage: Bacteria
Description: partial 16S ribosomal RNA
Rfam family: Bacterial small subunit ribosomal RNA
Source: RNAcentral
GACGAACGCUGGCGGCGUGCCUAAUACAUGCAAGUCGAACGCAGUGGGGACGGGUGAGUAACACGUGGGUAACCUCCCCAUCAGAGGGGAUAACACUUGGAAACAGGUGCUAAACCGAUACUGAUGGAUGGACCCCCGGUGCAUUAGCUAGUGGGUGAGGUAACGGCCCACCAAGGCCACGAUGAAUAGCGGACCGGGGAGGGUGAUCGGCCACACUGGGACUGGGAAACGGCCCAGAUUCCUACGGGGGGCAUCAGUAGGGAAUCUUCGGCAAUGGACGAAAGUCGGACCGAGCAACGCCGCGGGGGUGAAGAAGGUUUUCGGAUCGUAAACCUCUGUUGUUAGAGAGGCGGUAUCUAACCAGAAAGCCACGGCUAACUACGUGCCAGCAGCCGCGGUAAUAC